ACCUUUUAAUUUACAUCAUGCAUGCAUAAAAUAUAAGCACUAAGAUCUACUUUAUAUGCUGAAAUUGAACAUAUGCUGAAAUUGAAUAUAUGAUUGAAUCACAUACCUAUUUUGCAAAUCUUUUCUUCAAAUCUAAAUCCAUAAGAGAAUAGAUUCUCUCUUAGCCAUGCAAGUACUCAACCUCUAUGAGUAUCCACUCA
This 200-nucleotide long non-coding RNA is filed under the name Elaeis guineensis (African oil palm). RNAcentral describes it as "long non-coding RNA (EGUI_LNC044372)". Lineage: Eukaryota; Viridiplantae; Streptophyta; Magnoliopsida; Arecales; Arecaceae. The record is from RNAcentral.